Molecule: ribosomal RNA, 308 nt
Filed under: uncultured eukaryote
Lineage: Eukaryota
Description: partial 18S ribosomal RNA
Rfam family: Eukaryotic small subunit ribosomal RNA
Source: RNAcentral
CCCUUAGACGUUCUGGGCCGCACGCGCGCUACACUGACGAAGGCAACGAGCUUUCCUUUACCGAAAGGUACGGGUAAUCUUUUGAAACUUCGUCGUGCUGGGGAUAGAUCCUUGCAAUCUUUGAUCUUAAACGAGGAAUUCCUAGUAAGCGCAAGUCAUCAACUUGCGUUGAUUACGUCCCUGCCCUUUGUACACACCGCCCGUCGCUACUACCGAUUGAAUGGUUUAGUGAGGCCUUCGGAUCCGCGACUCGUUUUGUGGAGAAGUUGGACAAACUCAGUCAUUUAGAGGAAGUAAAAGUCGUAACA